CAGCAGCCACGGUAAUACGUAGGUGGCAAGCGUUGUCCGGAAUUAUUGGGCGUAAAGCGCGCGCAGGCGGAUAGGUCAGUCUGUCUUAAAAGUUCGGGGCUUAACCCCGUGAUGGGAUGGAAACUGCCAAUCUAGAGUAUCGGAGAGGAAAGUGGAAUUCCUAGUGUAGCGGUGAAAUGCGUAGAUAUUAGGAAGAACACCAGUGGCGAAGGCGACUUUCUGGACGAAAACUGACGCUGAGGCGCGAAAGCCAGGGGAGCGAACGGGAUUAGAUACCCCAGUAGUCCCUGUCUCUUAUACA
This 301-nucleotide ribosomal RNA is filed under the name uncultured bacterium. RNAcentral describes it as "partial 16S ribosomal RNA". It matches the Rfam family "Bacterial small subunit ribosomal RNA", at positions 509 to 809 of the family's 1533-position model. The record is from RNAcentral.